UGGGGAAUUUUGGACAAUGGGCGAAAGCCUGAUCCAGCAAUGCCGCGUGCAGGAAGAAGGCCUUCGGGUUGUAAACUGCUUUUGUACGGAACGAAACGGCUCUUUCUAAUAAAGAGGGCUAAUGACGGUACCGUAAGAAUAAGCACCGGCUAACUACGUGCCAGCAGCCGCGGUAAUACGUAGGGUGCGAGCGUUAAUCGGAAUUACUGGGCGUAAAGCGUGCGCAGGCGGUUAUAUAAGACAGUUGUGAAAUCCCCGGGCUCAACCUGGGAAUUGCAUCUGUGACUGUAUAGCUAGAGUACGGUAGAGGGGGAUGGAAUUCCGCGUGUAGCAGUGAAAUGCGUAGAUAUGCGGAGGAACACCGAUGGCGAAGGCAAUCCCCUGGACCUGUACUGACGCUCAUGCACGAAAGCGUGGGGAGCAAACAGG
RNAcentral lists this ribosomal RNA (429 nucleotides) under uncultured bacterium. RNAcentral's name for it is "bacterial SSU rRNA". It matches the Rfam family "Bacterial small subunit ribosomal RNA", at positions 355 to 776 of the family's 1533-position model. The record is from RNAcentral.